This is a non-coding RNA of Procambarus clarkii (red swamp crayfish), 4504 nucleotides long. The record is from RefSeq and is a predicted model, not a curated record. Lineage: Eukaryota; Metazoa; Arthropoda; Malacostraca; Decapoda; Cambaridae.
UUGUGUCGGCGGUGCCAAGUACACCACGAGAGGCUGUAGAGCGGCCACUCCGGCACUCCCGCCUCUUUUGCCUCCCCAGCAUCACCCUCGCCUUCAUACAACAAAAUGUCUUCCGAUUCUGAAGAAGAAAAUAAUGCAAGACGUGAGGCAGAUGAUAGAGAUGACAGUGAUAGUGGCAGGUAUGAUCGUAGGUCAAGGACCAGAUCUCGUUCUCGGUCAGUUGAUGGGAGUCAUCAUUCUGAUGAUGGGAAUAGAGACAGCAGACUUCAUGGCUCUGAUGAGGAUCAAUCACCUGACAGGAAGGAAAAUGGCAUGAGAGGAGAUUCUGAUAAUGAGAAAUCUGAUAAUCGGCGUGAGUACAGUCGAUCAAGGAGUCCAGAAAACAAAGAUAUGGUUGAAUGGCGUGGGGAUGCUGAUGAAAAACGCUCCUCACGUAGUCGAAGUAAGAGUAAGCCGAGAGAUCAAGAUUCUGGCAAGGACCAAAAAUCAAGCUCCUCUGUAGCAAAGAAGAAGUCUCGAUCAAGGAGAUCACGUUCUCGUUCCCGAAGUAAGCGUCGUUCUCGUUCACGGACUAGACGGUCACACUCAAGAAGCAGGAAGAGAUCUCGAUCUAGAUCGCGUUCUCGAGGAUCCAGGUCACGAAGGAGGUCAAGAUCUCGUUCUAGAAGGCGUUCAAGAUCAAGGUCAAGGAGUGGGACACCAGUAGAUGGUGCUCGGCUGCACGUUGCAGAACUAGAUGUUGACACACGUAAACGUGACUUGGAGAGAGUGUUUGAGAAGUAUGGUCGUCUACGGGAAAUUUGGAUGGCACGUAAUCCUCCGUGUUUCGCAUUUGUUGUUUAUGCUCACCAGAAAGAUGCAGAUCGGGCUCUUAAGGAGACAGAUGGCAUAAUGAUUGGUCACUGCCGAAUCAAGGUUACACAGGCAAGACCCCGUGUACGUGGAGGUCGGAUGAGGGGAGGUUAUGACCCAAAUUUGCGUUGUUACCAGUGUGGAGAGCUGGGACAUUUCUCUCGGAAUUGCACCGACACCAAGUUUGGCUACAAACGACCUCCAACCCCUCCAGGGAUGUGUUAUGGUUUGGUAUUGUGGUCAUGUGGUUGGGUUAUUGGUGCGGUGGGGAGAGGCGCCUCCAGAGUGCCUUGAGAAGCGUGAUGAUGGCACAACUGCGGUGGCACGGCCGCGCUAACUCCACACGUAAGUCUACCACGCCAUCUCCUUAGACAUGUGAUAUGGCGUGUUCCACAGCUUAGGGGUUAAUUUUGAGUCGUGUGUUAAUGUGUUACUGUUGUCAACGUAUGAGUUGAAAGGCAGUGAAGAAGUCGGCAGUGUGAGGCAUGGUAAUGGACUACAUUCGGCAUGGGAGAUGGUAAAGAACUCCACUUUCAGUGUGUGAGAUGGCAAUGGACUACAUAAUGGGAGAUGGUAAAGAACUCAACUUACAGAGUGACGUGGUAGAGGACUUCAUGUAUUGCAAAAGAUGGCAAAGAACUCUUUCAGAAUGUGAAAUGAAAAGGACUACGUAGUGAGUGGUGGCAAAGGAUGCUUCUUACAGAAUGGGAGAUGAGCCCAUCGAGGAAGGCCUCGCCACAGAUCACGAUCCAGGUCACGGUCUCGUCACCGUAGCCGUUCUCGUUCCUGAGGAUCAAGUCGGCAGAGUUCUAGUGCGCUGGUUUGCAGUACUGGUAGGCAUCCUUGAAGAAUCAUUUUGGGUUCCUGAAUACCACGUUUGGAAACCCCUAAUAAAUGUAUGAAGAUGAAAGACAUUUCCAUGCUAACGUAUAUCGAACAGCAUAGUACAGUAUGGCUGUCGGUCUUCAGAUUUUGAGAUAUUGUCUUGGUUUCAUUAAUUUUUUACUACAGUACAGCAUACUGAUUUUUUGAAGUGUUUAUGGUUAAAUUAUCACAGUUUUUAUCAAUGUAAACUGAAUGUGGUCACUACUGGCACAAAUUUGUAAAUGAUACCAGCUUUCCCAGGCUCUCAAUGAUACAGCUUUUUUUCAUUUUUAUUGGCAUAUACAGUUUAGGAUAAUGAGACUAUUUGUCACUCAUUUAUGAUAUAUCUUGAUAUAUUGUGUUCAGCACAGGCAUUACAAUGAAGUGUGUUGGUUAGGAGGAGCUAAUGCAGCUACAUUUGGCACAUUCCAUAUCUUAUGCCCUUACAUUAUAUGGCCAUAUAAAGCAAGAGUGUGUGUGUAGCACAUGCAUACAUAUUUUAUAGCUUUUCUAAAGCAUUGUGGUAAUUAGAUGAACACAAUUGUUUAUUGGAAGAAUUUUGGCAAAUAAAUAAUUUAACCAAUAUGGGAAAUAUCAGGAAAGUAUCUUUCUUUUGAAGUAACCUUUUAUCUGAAACCUUUUCUCACCAAUAAAAUCAGAAGCUGGGCAGGUAAUUGUUAAAAAAUACACAUUAUUCUAAAAUGUGAAUGUUAACAUUAAAUGUUUUAUUAUGGCCUGUUUACAUCUGAAGAUUGGUGGUUGUCAUUUAAAACGAUUACCUAAAUAAUUUUUUCAGUGUUUAGCACACGUUGAAAAGUCUAGUAGUGUUUAAAUGUUUAAUGACUUUAUUGUUACACAUCCACAAUUAUGGUGAAAGUUAAAUACAUUGAGUAUUUAAAGGCAGUUUCUUGGUAAAUGUCUGCUGCUGGAAGUUGGAGAAUAUUAAAAAAAACAAUGUAGUGCUAGUUUUGUAUUAAAAGUGAAAUAGUUUGGUGUAUUUUGAAUUUCCGUUUUUCAUUAUUUUAUAUAUAUAUAUAUAUAUAUAUAUAUAUAUAUAUAUAUAUAUAUAUAUAUAUAUAUAUAUAUAUAUAUAUAUAUAUAUAUAUAUAUAUAUAUAUAUAUAUAUAUAUAUAUAAUAUCCCACUGGCUGCUGCUUCAUUAACUAUUUAGUAUACUUUUCUAAAGCCAAAAAUGUUUAACAGGAAUUAAGUGAUAUAAUGUCUCAACCUAAUAAUUAGACUAAUUUUGUUAUCUGUUUUAGAUGUUCCUUCCAAAACUGCACCAUAAUUAAACGUCUCCAAAUGUUUCUCAGGUCAUUUAAGGCAAAAGGUUCAUUAAUCCAGUAAGUGGCAGCAAAUUAGUGGCCAUCCUUCCCAAAGUGUUAAUGUUAAAUUAAUUGCUCAUAUUAAGAAACUAGAGAGAAGCACAGAAAUACACAUGCACAAAGUGCACACAUGCAUGCUUACAGACAGACACACACACAGAAAAUGUGAUUUUAUUGGGCAUUCACACAAUGUACUCAUACACGACCACACACGGGGAGAUGUGUACACAAACUUCAAGAAAAUGUUUCAAAUUGUGGCUGUUGACCUUUGAAAAUGGUACAUGUGGAAUGAUUCAAUCAUGGAGAAAUUAUCUAUGGAAAGGGAACUUUUUUAUUAAAACAAAUUAAAACAUUCAAAACCCAUUCACAGCUGUUUUUAAGAGUUGAUUUGCACAUUAACUAGUUUAAGGAAAAUGAACUAGACAGCUAAAUGGUGUUUGAAAUGAGAUGUGAUUUAGAUAUGUAGAUAAUGGGGUAAGGAUGGCAUUAUAGAUGUGCAUAUCAGUAUCGGUGGCAUGUAGACCCAAUUCUUGCAAUGUAUGACCAAGAGUUUACAUUAUUAUUGUGAUAAAUUUAUUUGCAGUAAAUCCACGGACUGGGUUUCACAUUAUAGAGAUUUGGGGGUAAGCUGUUGCUAAUUAGCAAUUCCUUUUGAUUUUGUCCUAUAUAAUAAGUCAGAUAUCCUAAAGAUCAUGUUUUAUAUAUUGUACUCAAGUACAGUAUAAAGCAGAAGGAAGGAGGUUUAACAUUACAAAUUUAAUUUUUAAAAGUGAAAAUAAACUUGAUACUACAGAAGUUUUAAAGUUUAAAUUCAUAUGGUCUGUUACAUGUUGUGUUGUACUGGACCUAUGUGAUAGGCCAUAACAUGAAAUUAUUUUAAAUAUAGUAAUUUAGGUCAGUAUAUUAUGAUCUUGUAUUUUUCCCCAUUAUGCCAAAGUUGUUUCUGGAACUACAUUUUUCAUUUUGGUAAGAACAGUAGUUUGUUAAUUUUGUUUUAUAAAAUUUAUUCAAGUACAGUAUUUAAUUUGAUAAGAGCAGUUACCAAUAGGUUUUGAGUUUAUAGUUUUUUUUUUUUUUUUUUUUUUUUUUAUAAUUCCAUGAGGCAAUUUAGCUGCUUAUGAAAAAUGCAUUUAUUGGUAGGAAAAAAUUGUGUGCGCAAGAUAUUUUCUGAUUCCUAAAAGUAUUCAUUUAUUAACUGUUGGAAAUUAUAGUUCAAGAAUUUGCAGAGGGAAUGGCUAAUUCAGGAAACAGAUAUAUGCAGUGGUUUUUAACUACUGAAUAGUUGGUCCAACAAUAAUAGGCUUAUUUUUUUGUAUUUUAAUUGGUUCAUUUAUUUGUAAUUUAGUGAAUGAUUACAGAUGACAAAAUUUACUGGUAAAAUUUAUAUAGUUUUGAUGAGAGUUGAAAUUGAGCAACUAUGUAUUUUGGUUGUGUAUAUGGAUAAUAAAUCAUGAUUUAAUUCUU